This is an RNA transcript of Centrocercus urophasianus (Greater sage-grouse), 4215 nucleotides long. RefSeq lists it as uncharacterized. The record is from RefSeq and is a predicted model, not a curated record. The transcript is spliced from 7 exons. NCBI's taxonomy places the organism in Eukaryota, Metazoa, Chordata, Aves, Galliformes, Phasianidae.
CUCACUUAAAUGUCUGCUUGUUGGAUUGCUCAAAAGCGUCAGUCUUUGCAUGCUCAGAGAAAGAAAUUCUUGGAAAACAGGGACUGCAGAAGAGAUUUUUCGAAUCAUUGCUCUCUUGGAUUGAGUCCAGGCAAGAGGAAACCAGUCACGUAUAGUCUAAUGUCUCCUACAUACACAAAAUACAUAACUGUCUCCAGAAACUUCAGUAAAGACCCAUGGAUGCCAGCAACAGCACACAAAAUUCGAGAGAUUUUCUCUUACUGAAUGCUUCACUCCUUCAGUGUAACUGUUUACCUCUGUGCAGAAAGAGCCUGCAAUUGACUCCUCUAUUGACUGAAACUAUGUGUAAUGUGUAGAAGGAAACACUGUGGCAAACAAUACCAAGAAAAACCAUGAAAAGAUGAAGACAGAGCAGCACAAGCUCCUGUACAAUGAUGGAAGAAGCAUAGGAAGAAACAGCAUGAAAAGCCUAUCUCAGCUCUUUCCACAUGAAAUCUCUUUCCCUUUACUCAGAAAAUAUGACUUCCAGAUCCUAAAACACUAUCAAAGGCUUGAAACAAAUGCUGAGGCAAAUACCAGGACAGUUUUGAAGGUCAACACUGUCAUCAACUUGGUUCUGAAGGUUUUGGCAUACAAAAUUAGUGGAAUAUUUAAUGUGAAUGACUCAAGAGCAGAGCUGCUGGCAGUUGGCUUUCCUUUUGCUGGUUUGUGUAUCUCACAGUAUGAAAUAUUCUACAUCAUGUUUUGUGGUCUUUUUUUUUUUUUUCUGAAAAAAGAUGACAUCACCUUCUUUUCUGCUUAAAAAUGUCGUACGUUAUAUAGCUCUAUUUAAAGUAACAAACAGGACUUAUUUCAGCGUUUUGAGCUGACUGUUGUCAAAGAGUAAAACACAAUAAAAACAAAUCAAAGCCAUAAAGUUCAUCUCAUUUAACAAAUAGCAGUAACUAUCUUAAAAGUGACUGGCUUUUUAUGGAUAUUUUGAGUGUCUGCAGGAGGCUGCUUUCCAUUCCCACAAUAAGAUUAGUGAGGGAGGAAAAGUGGAAGGGUUGCUGAUACCACAGUGCUUAUUCUUGUGCAAAUACUGAUUCAGAAGCUCCAUUAUUUUUCAGAGAUUUUCCUCAAAAAAUACUUCUUUUUUUUUCUUUUUUGGCACCAUAAGGAAAAAAAUGGUAGUUGCAGAGGAAAAAAAACUAGGAAGGCAAAAUCAUAGUUUUGAAGAACUGACUAAAUUUAAACUUACACAUGUGUAGAUUUUGCUUCCAAUUUAAGAAGUUCAAAGAGAUAUAUUGCUGCUAGAUAUGACAGCAAAAGUAAUAUUGCCACUAUGCUCCAUUAUCAUUCUGUACAAAAUCAAUAUCAAAACAACCUAAGUCUAGACGCAUAAAUGUCAAACUAUUUAACAAGAAGCAGUUAGUGCAGAAAAAAACACUUAAAUGGCAAUUGAGGUAGUCUGAUGGGUCUUAAAGUAGCUUACCAGGAUUUAUGUAAGAUAAAAACAGUUUAACUAAGCAUGUAGAACAAAGCCUGAGGGCUUAUGGCUAAGAACAAUAUCAGAAGAACAUCUAAGCUCUUUAUCGUACCUGUCAGGUCCUAGUACUUGGCUGUUCUGUCAAAGGUAGAAGGCCUUCUAAAUUUCCUAAUUUCCUCUUUGGUUUUGUGUUUUAGGUUACUUAAUAAGAUUACCGUUUACCUACUACUCAUAAGACAGAGUGCCCAGUUCAGAAAAACACAUUUGGGUUACUCCUGCUACUUUUAUGAAAUCUAUCAUUUUCAGAGUGCGUUCUUCUCCACAUUUUCCAUAUUGUUUCCGGUUGAGAACUGGCAGUGAGAUUAUUAGCAAGUAAUAUACGCCAAUAAAUAGAAUUUUGUUGUGAGAUACACAACAGAAAUUAGCACUUAACUAAAACACCUAAACACUUACGCUCGUUCCAGUUAAAGAAACAAGAGGGCUAGAAGAACUGAAAAAUAUAGAGGGAUUUUCAAAUUGAAGCAUGUAACUUAAUAAUGACCAAAUAAUUUGCAUUUUUUAAAAUUAUCAUUUCAUUUUUACUGCCUUUCAUUUGGCUCUCAAAUUGACCCAAAAUAAAAAAAGAAAAUUAAACAUAAUUAGGGCUUAGGUUGAACAACGUAAUUUUAGUUGGUUCGCAAUUCAUUUUUAUUUGUUCACAAUUUAUUGUUGCUCUGUGUAGCACCAUAAGACUUCUUCAUUCUUGUAUGAAUCAUGUUUUUUUCUGUUGUGGUCACAAAACAAAAAGAAAUCCAUCAUUAACCCAUCAGAAAUUAAAUCAAGUUGGGGUACUGCCUUGCUGAAGAAAAAGUACAUUCAGUGUAAAUAGAACUAAAGGGGAUUUUACUAUUGAAUAAAUAUUUCAUUUCACAGCCUUCAGGAGAAGCUAUUACCAGAUGUCCUGUAGCACAGUGAAAUUUGUUGCUGAUUUUUCUGACUACAGGAGAGGGUCUAUGCUUUUACGCAGGAAAGUUUGUCAAGUAAUUAAAUAAAUACAUAUUUCAAUACAAAGCCACUCUAACUUCAGAUCAUGUAUUAUUUUUUGAGGAUAGGAUAGUUAUAAGCAAUUUACAUUAUUCAGAUCAAAUAUCUCAUUGAAGUAUUCAAACUAUGAAAAUGAGAAUGAAAAAUUCUUGAAAUGACUGGUUCUGGAAAAAAACUCUUGCACCUUGGAUUUGCUGUAACUUGCUCAAGAAGAGGAGAUGCAGCGCUACAGGGAAUAAUGCAAAUUGUUAUACAUUCAGGAGUGUUCUGUGUGGCUUUCAAGAGGUGCCCAUAUGGCCAGCUUCUUAAGAGUCACAGGUAACUGAGUAGAAGAAAUGAAAGGCUGCAGGUGUGAGAGAAGUAACACUGCUCCUCUGCUCAUGUUGUCUCCAAAAGCAGAUAUUUCACACCCAUACCCAGAAGAGCUUCUUGUGGUUUGGAGCUGAUUCAGGCUAUCCAAAUGGGUAAAAACUCUUUUUUUUUUUUUUUUUUCUUGAACUGUACCUCAUAGAACAAGGAAUAACAAAUUUUUGACAAAGUGCAGGGUAUUUUUUAAGCUAAUUGAUAACUGCCUUGUUUAUGCUGAGUGAUGAUCAUGAAGAUAACCAAACAAUGCCUAAUUUUAAUUACGAUAGCAAUCCCAUUUAGUCAGGGAUAAUUAUAGACUUAAUGUUAGGAAAAGAUUUAAGGAUUUUGCAAUUAUUGUAUUGUCUCCAAUAUAAUUGUAUUCUGCUUAUGACACUCUGGUGUAUUGAUGUGAACUCACAAUUUAUGGCCAGCUGUAUUCCACUGAUUUGUGAUUUCAUGAAUAGAAACAAUUCACUUUAAGCUGGGAGAUGCUGAUCUGCAGAAAAGGAUUGGAGUGCUCUACUGCUUCAGUGGUAACAUAUAUUUGCACAAACAAACUUCAGACUUCACAGCAACCUCAAAAAACUGCACUGCCCAACUGCUAAAGUUAACUGUGAAGUCUCUAUUUGAUGAUGUAUUGUGUUAAUCUGAAGGAGUCUGCAUCACAACUGUUUUAGAGCAUGUUGCUUAAGUCUCCCAUUUCUGAUCGUACCCUUGAAGACAGUUUUAAUGGGAAAAGCUUUGUGCCUGAGGAAAAAGGUAUUCUCCCAUGCUCUUUACCAUUUUUGCCGAAGUCCUUCCAAGGCUUAAUACAUCUUCUGAACCUCUGAGAUGGAAGUGAUAUUGAAGGAAUAUUGAAGAAUGUAAAAUGAUUUCUCCAGAAAGCCGUCACCCAUCCUUUCUGUUCACUCUUAAGAAAAUUUAUGUAAAUAAUCAGUGCAGACUGUUUGCUGUUUCCUCUUCAACCCCACAACCUCAAUUAUUUCUACAGAUUAGCAGGAUCUCUGUUCUGCAGAAAUCCAUUAGAGUAAGGAAGUGGGCUCCCCGUCUGUCUCCCUAAGUAAAGAAAUUCUCCUGUAAAAAACUGAGAAUCAUAGAAUAUCCCAAGUUGUAAGGGACCCAGAAGGAAGAUCGAGUCUAACUCCUGCAUGCAACUGAGUGAAACAGAAAGGACACCAAGAAUGCCUUCAGGAGUGCAAGAGCUACAUGGGACCAAUUCCAGUUUCUUUUUCCAAGGAAUAUAAGAUGUACUUACUGAUUCUCCUGGUUGCCAGACUUGGGAAAUUUGUUGAAUGUGACACAUCUAGCUCCACAGCCAGCAUGACAGGAAAAGCAAAGGACAGCUGGCAUGAGGAAGGCAGCAGAGAGGAAUCAAG